CCCAUUAAGCCCGAAACAUAGAGCUCGCGAUCGAAGCCCGGUGGUAUCUCGCCGGAAAGUUUAUUGUGCGAUAUAUUGAACUUAUUAAGCGUCAGUUUAGUCAGCUCCGUUGGGAUCUCGCCGGAAAGCGAGUUCCCUGAGAGGUCCAAGUACAUCAGCACCGGCAAGUCGCCCAAUUGAACCGGUAUGCUCCCAGUGAGCCGGUUGUUCGAAAGGUUCAACUCCGCCAAAUGGGCCCAUGGCCCUACUGAACUCGGAAUCGGGCCGGUGAGCAAAUUGCCUUGCAUCUUGAGCUUCUGCAAACUGCCCAAAUUGGUGAUACACGUCGGGAGUCCACCGCCAAACCGGUUGUUGCUCACAUCAACAACGGUGAGGUUCGAGAGCUGGCAAAUCUCCGCCGGAAUAUCACCAGAGAAGCUGUUGCCGGCGAUCAGAAGUGACGUCACGCCCUUGGGCCCUGAAAUCGACCGCGAAAUCGCUCCUUCAAACUUAUUGUAGCUCAUGUCAAGGUGCGAGAGUCCCUGGAGGCCCCAAAACCCGGCCGGCACUUCGCCGGAGAGUCCGUUGUUGCUGAUUCGGACAUAUCCGAGAGAAUCACAACUCGCUAGCGAACUCGGCAGGCUUCCUGUGAAGCGAUUGUUGAAGGCGAUAACUCUCUGGAGCUUGCCUCUGGAACAGAGAUUCUCAGGCAACUCGCCGGUGAAAGAGUUGGUGGAGACGUCGAACUCCACCAAGUCGGAAUUCUUGCCCAAAUCGGCUGGUAAUUUCCCGGUGAAAGAGUUGUUGAAGAGCUUCAGCUGCUGCAAAUUUGGGUUCGACGCCAGAACCGCGGGAAUCUCGCCUUUGAAUAAGUUGUCAUUUAGGUUCAGGGACGUGAACGGAUAUGCAGCGAUCUUCUCCGGCAGGACACCGGUGAGACCGUUCUGAGAGACGUCCAAUUGCAUGAGAUUGCUCAAAUUGCUGAUCCCCUCUGGCAACUCGCCCGAUAAGUUGUUGUGGUACAGUUCAAUUUGCUCGACGCUUCGCAGCCCGGCGAUGGCAUCAGGAAUUUUCCCCGACAGCAUAUUGUAGGACAAAUCGAAGUUCUUCAGAGAAGUGAGCUUCCCGAUUGAGCUCGGGAUUUCUCCGACGAGAUUCGAUUUCGCUACCCAGAGAAUCUCGAGCCUGGACAGGUUUCCGAUCUCCGGAGGCAGAGGGCCCUGCGCGUACGGGUUGUAACCGAUAUUGAGCUGAGUCAACUGGCUAAGAUUACCCAAGAAGGAAGGUAUCGAGCCGUUGAGCAAGUUCGAGUACAGCGAGAGGACACUCAGCGCCGGCAACCGGCCGAAGCUAGCCGGAAACUCGCCGGUGAAGUUGUUGUACGAUAGGUCGAGGAACCGGAGGUCGGCGAACCCGGGCGAGAGGUCCGGCAGCUGGCCGACGAAGUAGUUGCUGGAGAUGUUGAGCCACUGGAGAUGCGAGCAGAGCGAGAGCGACGGCCCCGCGACGGUGCCGUUGAAGGAGUUGUCGCCGAGCGAGAGUUUCCGCAGGGUCCGGAUCCGGCAGAAGUCGUACGGGAACCUGCCGGCGACGUUCAGUUCCGAGAGGUCGAUCGCGACGACAGAGCGGUUCCGGGUCUCGCACGUGACCCCGGUCCAGUUGCAGGGGCUACGGUCGGCGGUGGGGGCCCAGUCGUCGAGCUGGCCGUCCGGGUCCUCGAGCUGGGCGGCCUUGACGCGGAGCAAGAUCUCGUAGUCGCCGCCGGCGGCGAGGGCCAGAGGCAACAAGAACAAGCAGCAGCAGCAGCACAGCAGGGACCAAGAACGGAGCACGAGCCACAGGGCAGACGCGAGCUCGCCGCGACGGCGAUGGGCGGUCGCCAUUUCUUUCCCAGGAAACCGCGGACGGGAAGGUCUAAGUUGCAGUCUAGUGCUCACGCACGACUAGACCGUCACAUGCAUGGCGCGACGGCGGCGGUGGCGGAGCGGCUGCGGCUUGAAGGAGAAGGUGGUGGCGUUCACAUGGAAAGAUCCACGCGCAUGAGGAUAUGAUAAUGCGCGUGGAAAGAGAGGGGAAAGAGAGGAGAUCUUCGUUGCCUAGCGACGGCAAUAAUGGUGGGAGACCAUGAUUGCAGGGGCUUGGGGGAAAAAUUGUAUUGAUUGGAUUCUUCUCUUUUUUAACUUUAGGGGGUGGGAAGGAGCUUGGAAGUGACGAAGUGUCUUUGCGUAGGAUUGAGGGUUUUUAUAAAGCCGCCCCACCUUGAUUUAAAGAACAUCGCCUCGGAAAGCGAUGUUAGUGGUCGAAUUAACUCUAGUUUAACAAAUUUGGUCUCCGGUUGUCAGGGAAAAAGAAAAGGAAUAAUACCCAAAAAAUUCCAAGUCGAUACAUUUAUAACAAAUUUUAUCUUAAAUUAACCUUAAACUGAUAUAUCUAUAAUAAAAUUACACUUCGUAAGUUUUCGUUAAAUUUUACUAUCAAAUUGAUAAGUUAAGUGACACGUAACAAUUAACAAGUGCAGCAAUUUAAGGUUUCACCUUUAAUUUGAUCAGUUUGUGGUACCAAUGUAAUUUAGUGAAAACUAACGAAAGAUAAAAUUGGUCAUAAAUGUAAUAGUUUAGAAUUUUAGUGGUCAAAAAAUUACUUUUGAAUAAAUUUAUCAUAGAUGAACCAGUUUUUGGAUUUUUUUUAAAUAAUAUUAGAAUAAAUUUGUUAUAAAUAUACCACUUUGGAAUUUUUUGUUAUAUUAAGCCAAAAAAUAAUGAAGUGUUUGGGUUCAUUUAUUUCAUAAAAAAAAAAAUGGUUGAAAAACAAUUUUCUAAAAUGAAUAAUAUUUUCAUUUUUAUUCAUUUUUUUUAUAAAUGAUAUAAAUGAUCAUAUUUAAGAAAACAUUUUCAAAAUUAAUCAUUAAUCGUAAAACAAACGAAGCCCUUAUAUUAUAAUAUUUUCUUUUGUGACAUUCGUGUCUCAUCGAUAUUGGCUCAAUCUUGGGUCACCAUCGGUGGGACUUUUUUAUUAAGUACUUUGGUUUUAUCUAUUGCCAGAACACUUCAUAUUCUCAAAAAUAUAUAAAAAUCGACGAAUAGAUCUAUGUGUGUAUUUUUAUAAUUUUUUUUCAAACCCUGGGAAUAAAUGAAAGUUAAUUUCCAAAAGCAUAUUCAAUCUCUACUUCUAGAAAAUUAUUUCGUGAUUCAGCUUGAUUGCCCUUAAAAAUGGUAAAUUGAGUUGGAGAAAGUAAAGUUCAUGCAUAAUAUGUCGCUAAAGGAAGUGUGUGACUUUUUGUUGUACCGAAAUUAGAACGAACUGGAUUUCGAUGUAUCAAUUCGGAUUACCUAUGAUUGCUCGUCACUGGGAUGAUAGUUUAUGCAUUUAAUAUUAAUAUGGUGAGCUGAACUACAAUUACAUGAAAGCUUUUUUUCUAUCAAAUCUUUGCAAAAGUUACAUAAAAUUAUUCUAAGUCCUGGAACAUCUACCGUUAAAAUUUAUAAUAAUAAUAAUAAUAAUAAUAAUAAUAAUAAUAAUAAUAAUAAUAAUAAUAAUAAUAAAUCAUGAGAGAAUUUUAAGUGAAUUUACAUGUCAAUAUUUAAAUGUAACGAAAACUUUAGAUGUUUUUGAAUAAAGAAGGUCAAAGUGCAUGGCAUCUCAUAAUUAAAUUCAAUAAAAAGUAAAAAGUAAAAGUGAAUUCAGACGCGUUCAAAUGCAUUUAGAUGGUCAUUGCAACACACAUUGACAUCGUUAUUUUUGUAAUGAAAGAUAAUGUUAGGGUACAUUUGUACUAAAUUUGAAGGUUGGAAGCUAAGUGGGGAAAAAAAGUGAAAAAGCAUUGCCCCUCACGGGUUGGAAACGUGUUGUAAAUUUAAAUUAUCCUUUGAUUACAUUUACAUGUCAUGUUAUUAGAGUCAAACAGUUUUCAAAUACGAGCUCGAAUUGAUUAAAUAUGUAACUCUUCAUGCAUGGCUCCUCUACAACUUUAUUUUAAUUUUCUAUUAGUCGUUGACAUUAAAACUCUGGUUAGUAUAAAUCUACGUCAAGGAAAUAUCAAAUUAAGAUGAUCCUCACCCACCAUCUUCAAUCUAAUCUUGAACAUUCUAAUCUAUAUUCAAAAAGGAAAAAAAAAAUUAUGUAAUUAUCUUUUGCCAGAUUACAUAUUUUGUAUAAAGUAUUGCUAGGAUUUGGCGCACAUUCUAAAGAAAUGGAGAGGAAAAAGCAAGAAAGAGAAUUGAAGACAUAAAAUUUUACCCACUUUUAAAUUAGGGUUAUGUCUAGUAGAGUAUUCCAUUAUAAUUAAUACCGCACAUCUCUGCGUUACAUCCCUUAAUCACAAAACGAGAGAGAGAGAUGCCCCCGCGACCCCUACCAAGGCCCCUCAAUCCCCAACAAGUGGCGUUAUACAUAUACUGAAACUAACGCACAAAACUAAUAUAUUAAGAAGCACUUCUAGAGAAUACGAGCUGAGAUUUCCAAUUGGAUAAUACAGAGAAUGUCAUAUUACUUUCUUUCUCGAUUUUGAUAAAUUGUUUUUAAUUUAUUUGUCUUGAUUUUUCAAUAUAGGUCUUAUUUAAUCAUGAAAUCCAUAGUAGGAAAUAAAUUAUGUAUUUUAUUCCUUAAAUAAGUGUUUGAUAAGUAUUUUGUCUUAUUCAGUAAUAAAAAAUUUUACUAAUUAGAAGUGGAAAUUCUUUGGGUGCCUGAUAUGAUUGAUGACUCGAUUUUUGCUUCCACAGGCAGCAAACUGCUGGCACCCACCUUUACAGGAGUUGAUAAUCUUUUGACGCUUCCGAGGACAACUAGUUAGCGAAAAUGACCCAAAGAUGGGAAAGGACAGGUUCCUUCUCUAGAGGGCAUGAAUAUUAUGGAAAUUUUCUUUUUUGGCCAUCAGAUACUCCGCUAGAUUUUGCUUUUUUGGCUCGGUAAGCUGGACAGACUCGAUGAAACCUUGCUGGCCAAGUUACAGCCAAAAGCGAAGAAUAACUUAUUAAAGGCAUUCCAAACAUUCAUACAUAGAAUCAGUGAGGGUCAAUUCGGUUUUAGUCAUUUUGAUAAGAUGCUCCACCAUCUACAGAAUGCACACGAAGCAAAUCAUUCUCUUCUUAUUGAAUAAAGUUCAUUAUCACUUGGAUGAAGCUUCACUUAACAGGAAAGUAUGCAAAGAAUAAUGAAGCUUCUACUAUCCUUGUCUCCAACUACAAGGAGGGGUCCCCUUCUAUCCGAAUAAUAGGAUUCGUAUAGUUUGUUGUUGUAACAUAUUCAUUGUGUCAUUUCUAAUACUACUUGUCCUUUUUAUUUGGACCAACGAUCCCGACAACAAAUCAACAAGUUGGAUCUGAGUCCCUCCUACGAAACCUUUUGGUGGGACUUUGGAAAGUGAUGCGUUCAUCAGCUUAAACAUGCAUUAAUCCUGUGUGUGUUGAUACUUCAUUAAUAAAUAUGACCUAUCCUCGGAAGAUGUAACUCAAAUACAUAGUAAUAAUCAUGUGACUAUGCUGCUUGCUCUAGUAAAGUUAUGAAAUAUAUGAACUUUGGGGCAAAACCCUAAUAUAUAUUUAUACUUGUUGAAAUGAAACAUUGAACUUAGUUCAAUAAUAUUAGCCUCUAAUCUAAGGUUGUUGGCCCCAAGGGCAAGGACAACUGUAAGUGUUUUUUUUUUUAUGUGAACUAUAUUAAAUUGAUAUUAUACUUUACCAUUUUACGGAAUUGAUCUGAUAAUGUGAGAUAUAAGGUUUCUUAAUUAAUCUAAUAUGGAGUUAGUUAGUGUGAGCGGAGUUGAGGCCAGCCCUUGAUAAGAGAGCCGAUGGUUUAAAACUUUAUAAAUAGUGCCCAAAUUUCUCCUAUAACCUUGACGCACAAAUAUCCCCACAUAAUGAGCAUUUAUUGGAUGCUAAGGGUGAGGAGCAAUCUCAUUGAAUGAAUUUCAAUCAAAAAAGAAAAUCUCAUUGAAUGAAUGACACAUAGGGCAAUAAAUGAGAGGUUCUUGAGUUUGGAUCAUCGCUAUUAAGUAUAAAAAACAAUGGAUUCCAAAUCAUGUGCACAAAUCUAUUUAGUUGAUUAUAUAUGUAUUUUUUAUUCUAACUAUAGAAAUCUUGGGGUGUGCUUUCACAGUUUACAUAACUGUCGAUGCUUGGAUCCCUAGUAGCCAUACCCAAUAACCCAGCUAUCAUGCCCAAGUCACUAGUAUUUAGGCUUGAGUCCACAAAGAUUGAAUAUGAGAUUUCGGUGUUUUGCUCAAGUCCCCAGUGGCCAUGCGCAAGUUACUAACUCCUUUGCCGAAGUCAUCAACCCUUAGAGCCAUGACUAUGGAGGCUAGACUCAGCUCCUCGAUAGCUGAGAUCCUAGUGUCUAUGCCUGGGUUCUCUACAGCCAUACAGGGACUCAACUCGUAUGUCCAAGAAACUGGGGCCCAAGCCCAAGUCCAUAGAGGCUGAGCUCGAGUCCCUCAUGGUUUUGCAUGAGACCCUAGUGCCCAUGCCCGACUCUCUAACGGCCAUGUCAAGAGCUCGACAGUUCUAUUUGAGUCCCCAAUGGCUAUGAUUGGAAUCUUAGUUUAUGUGCUUAAGUCCCCAAAGACCAUGCUAAGGAACCCGACUAUUGUGCUCAAAUGAAGGCUCAAGUCUCUCUAGGCUAGACUAGGUUCGGGUACCCAUGCCUUGAUCCAUCAGGGCAUGCCUGCAUUCCCAACUCCCACAUCCAAGUCAUUAAUGUCUAGCCCCGUUUUCUUGGCAAACAAGCCUACGUCCACAAAGGUUUGGGCCUAGGUCCCUUGAGGACAGCUUUAAGCCCGAUGCUCGUAUUUUAGUCCUUGAGGUAGUGCCUAGGUACCUAGUUGUUGCACCCAAAUUAUCGAUGUCCGGGCCUCAGUCCCCGAUGCCCAUGCUAGAGUUCCCAGCGGUUGGACUUGAGAAAUCCUAACUCCUGCAACUAGAACUUGGUGGUUGGGUAAUAUGAACAUCACACAAAUAGUACAUGUCUUUUUAGGAAAAUGAAAUUAAGUUUUCCUUUUUGAACGACAAAUAAUAAUUUCUAAUUCAUUUUCAGAUUUCAUCUAAAUAUUAGAAAAUAUUGUAUUUUUCCUAAAAAUACUAUUUGAAAGACAUUAUCUGAAAAUGUCAAAUUUUCUCAAAAUAAACUGAGCCUAAGUUUAUACGUGGGUAGCACAUAGUUGUCAUGAAUGACUGUCAUCUCAUUAUGUAGUUGACUUGGACAUGUAAUAGGCCUGAUUUGUCACCGGAUAUAUUUAAAUGGAAGCUUCACUGUAGCAAAAAGUUGUGGCGAGAAUAUGAAGGGAUCCAAAAAAAAAUUCUAAGAUGUAGAACUUGUAUGGCGUUUUCCCAUUAAAUGCAUAGCUUUGAAGAUGAGCAAUGGGUCGUAUCACCAUGAGUUCCUAUACAAAUCCAUAAUUAAAAAACGUUUAUGUACAUUUUUUAAAAAGGAUCAUAUAGUUUUUAAAAGUGUUAAUACCAUAAGAAACUUCAAAUUGGUAUAUAUAUGACAAAUUUACAAUAAACUAAUAUUUUGACCAUAAAAACCUCAAAUUGAUAUAUAUGUGACAAAUUGACUCUAUGUUAGUUUUCGUUAAGUUUUAUAGUAAAAAAAUUGAGUUAAAUUACACAUGACAGUUGAUAGGUAUAUCGAUUUAAGAUUUUACCCUCCGUUUGUCAUAGGUGCAUUAGUUUGUAAUUGUUCAUGGUAUUAAUCCAAUUUAAUAGUUAACCGAGGUUAAAUUUGUCAUGAAUAUAUCAAUUUUGGAUUUUUAGUGGUCAAAAAUUAGUUUGGGAUAAAUUUGUCUUACGUUUACCAAAUUGGAGUUUUUAGUUAUCAAAAAAUUAGUUCGAGAUAAAUUUAUCACGUAUCUAUCAAUUUAAAGAUUUUUGUGGUACCAAUCAUUUUUAAAAAGGGUACCAUCACCUUUUUGAACAAAUCUAGCAGUAGGUGCUAACUAAGACUUAACAAAAUUAAAAAAAUUCCUAGAGAAAAAGCAUUAGCUAUGAACUACUCGCAAAUGUAUCCUUUAACCUCGAGGCAAUGAAUCGGUGCAGUGGUCAGAUCUAGAAAUGGUCUAGGGACUAUGGCAUCCAAUUUCUUAGGCGAGAAUAACUAUACUAUGAUGGUUGUGUGAGAUUUUGUCAUAUUAUUGUCAACUUUUCUAAAAAUUUACGUUAUCAGAUAAAAGCGUAAUUUAAUAUUUAUGUAUUCUAUCAUUCCACCUCAUACUUAGUCUGGUUUUCUUCUUCUUCUUCUUCUUCUUCUUCUUCUUCUUCUUCUUCUGCAUACUAUCAAAUGUGUAUAUAUUUAAUUGGGGAAGCAAAUGGGAUCUAGAAAGAUUUGAACUCAAGACAUUCUACUCUAAUAUUAUGUGAGAUUUUGUAGGACUAUUGUCAACAAUUCUAAAAACUUAAAUUUGUAAUUGAAAGCAUAAUUUAAUAUUUAAGUAUUCUAUCAAGUUGUCGAUGCCUAGCAAGCCUUAAAGAAUAAUGACAUUUAAAUGGUACCGUGAUAGUUUUGUCCCUCAGAAGCCUCAUGUAAUUGAAAACCCCACAUGAUAGUAACCAAGGUGGUCACUUACCUAUGGGGAAAAUUACCAAGUUCUAAACCUAUUAAAAUUGUGCCAAUUCAAUUCUAAAUAUUUUUUUGGCCAAUUGAGUCGUAAACAUUUUGUAUUUGUGACAAUUUAAGCCAUCCAGUCAAUUUUGGUUUGCCACUCAACGCUGACAUAAAUGUUAACCAUCCUAAGUGAUGCAACCAGUGUUGACAUGAACAAGUUUACAUAAUAUUAUAAUAAAAUUUCAAAUUUUUCUAUUUAUUCUUUUUCUUUUCUUUUCUUUACUUUCUUCUUCCUCUAGCCAAUCAUCGACUCGUGACUAGCCAGAGGCGGGGUCAACAAGACCUUGCUAGAUUUGGCGAUGUUCAAGCCUUGCCCUCACUAGAUCCAACAAGGUCUUGCCUCGCCUAGCCACUGGCGAUAGUUGAGCUUGCAAGGUGAGAGGUUGAGCCUUGCCCAUCCAUGGCUAGACUCUCGCCGACUUUGCCUCUAGCUAAUCGCCAACAAUGACAUAUUGGAGGAUAAAGGAAGUUAAAAAUUAAAAAGAAAGAGAAAAAAAUUUAAGACAAGCAUACAUAAAUUUAACAAAUUUUAAAAUAUCAUUAAAAAUUAUCCACGUUAGCGUUGAUGGCAUCAUGUAAGAUGAUCCACACUCAUGUCAAUGUUGGCAAGUCACUUUUUCCUGGAUGGAUUGAAUUGGCACAAAUAGAAAAGGUUUAGGACUCACUUAGCUAAAGAAAAAGGUUGAAGAUUGAAUUAAUACAAUUACAAUAGGUGUAUGAGUCUUUUGGUAAUUUUUACUUAGUUUAUGGCAUCUUGCGAGAUGGUGGCCAACCUCAUUAUCAGACCCUCUCACUCCCUAUUGAAACCGUAGUUUAAUAUUUAAGUAUUCUAUCAAAUUGUUGAUGCCUAUCAAGCCUCAAGCAAUAAUGACAUUCAAAUGGUACCAUGAUAGUUGUGUCCCUCGAAAGCCUCAUGUAAUAGCAACCCCUACAUGAUAGUCACUAAGGUGGUCGCUUACCUUAAUUUAUGGGGAAAAUUAUCAAAAAAGUUCUAAAUCUAUUACAAUUGUGCCAAUUCAAUUCGAAACUUUUUUUAGCCAAUUAAGUUAUAAACUUUUUGUAUUUAUACCAAUAUAGUCCAUUCGGUCAAUUUUGAUCGGCUAGUCGACAUUGACAUGGACAUUGGCUAUCCUACACGGUACCAUUGAUGCCAAUAUAGACAAUUUUAAAUAAUAUUAUAGUAUUUUUUUUCUAAUUUUCAUUUUAUUUUAUUUUUCUUUUAUUUUAUUUUCUUUACUUUCUUCUCCUCCAACUAGUCGUCAACACGUGACUGGCCAAAGGCAAGGCCAGCAAGACCUCACCGUAUUUGGUGAGGGUCAACCCUUGCCAUCAGUAGAUUCGGUAAGGUCUCGUCUCACCUAGCCACUAGCAAUGGUCGAGCCCACAAGGUGUGAGGUUGAGCAUUGCCCACCCAUGGCCAAGCUCUCGCCAAACCUGCCUCCAACUGAUCGCCAAUGGCGACCUCUUGGAGGAUGAAGGAAUUGAAAAGUAAAAAAGGAAAGAGAAUUUUUUAAAAAAAAUAAACAUAUAUAAAUUUAAAAAAAUUAUUAAAAAUUAUUCGUAUCAGCGUCGGUGGUACCAUGUAAGACAACCAACAUUAAUGUCAAUAUUGGUUGGGCACUUUUGACUAGAUGGACUGAAUUAGCAUAAAUACAAAAGGUUUAUGAGUUAAUUAGCUAAAGAAAAAAGUCGAAAAUUGAAUUAAUAUAAUUACAAUAAAUGUAUGACAUUUUUUAGUAAUUUUAACUUAGUUUAUGACAUCACUGCAAGAUGAUGGCCGGCCUCAUUAUCAAACCCUCACCUCUCCACACACCACCCCCCCCCCCCCCCCCCCCCGGUAUGAUUUUUCAUGUUGCUAAUAUGGCAUCUACUUGACGCCAUAUAAGAAAUAUUUCAGUGCUCACAUAUUUCAAUCGACCGAGUUUCUAAAAGGACAAAUAGUGACCCUUUUUAAAAAGCAUGGAAGUUAUCAUUUUGAAAAAAACAAACAGUACACGGACUGAAGGUGAGAUUGUGAGAAGUUUUCCUCCGCCUUUUUCUUUAUCAUUCGACACUCUUAUCAAGACACGUUUCUGAAAACGUUCGCAAACUAUUCAAGGUAAGGCGGGCUAGGGGCCAAAAAGAUCACACGCAUGGCGAAGCUAUUUCGUCUCGUUCGACGAAACCCUCGUGAACUGUGUCGUAAUAAUGGCGGAUUACCGGCCGUCGCUGACGAAUGACUAGUUCCCACUUGGCUUGCGAUCAGAAAGAUCGACAGGCUUCGACGGUUGAAAGCUUCAAUGGGGGUUAGAGUUACGACCCACAGAGCUCGAGGAGACGAAGAAAACGUGAAAUUCAAUAGAAAACACUGAAUCCAUCGGAAGGGAAGGAAGCUGCUGCGCAACGAAACAUGGCACGAUCGGGGUGGCUGCGGAGGCGUGAAGAUGAAGUUGCUGGUUUUGAGUAAGAAACUGUCGAAGAUUGUGCUCCCCGAGAAACCCUUCUUUACUCCGCUUAACUUGAAAAACAUUAAAAAAAGUUAACCCUUCAUGUGUUAUCGCACGCAUUUAUACUAUCCGCAAGGGGAAAAAAAAUUAGUGCCCCAAAGUCAAAUUAAUUACUUCUAGCUUCAUUCGUUUGUCUAGCAAGUAUAAGUUGGCUUAAUUAUGAAUCAAUUUGAAUUCUGAAACGAACAAUGCUUGGGAUACGAAUUUAUAGACUAUAAUCGGUCGAUUCAAUAUACAAAGAAGAGGAAGGCAUUUAUUUAAAAUAAUCAUUUCUGAACUUGAGUCUGUCAAGUAAUAGCUCGUUUUUGCUCCUCCACUUGGGCAAAACUUUUCAUUUCAAUUUAUGAACGAGUAGCUUGGGAUGACAAAUUAAGUAUUCAAAUAGAAGAAGUUUGUAUGGUUCAAAGUGGUGUGUUCAUUGUGUUAUGUGUAAUUAGUGCAUUAAAAAUGAGAAUGAUUCGUUAUUAUAUAUGAGUUAAAAGGCUAUUAUAUUAUCUUCAAUGAGGGAAAAGCUAGAAUUUAUAUCCUAUUUUUUCCCUAAAUAGGAGGAAAUCAACUCUCACAUAGGCCUAUGAUAAUUCAUAAAGCCUUUGGAGAUGUGCUAACUGCCAUAUUUUUUUUAUGGAACUUAUUUUGUUUUUCGUCAAUAUGAUUGCGAUUCUUUCAAUUUGAGUGUCCAUUUGACCUCUUUAAAAGAUCGCCGUGUUAUCUUUUCAGGAUUAAAUGAUUCUUGAGAUUAUUAUUCAAAUGUUAAUGAUGAGAAAUUGAGGAUAACUUGAAUAUUGACUUCCUUACAAGAAAAACCUUUACCUUUUUAUCAUGACAGCUUUUGAACUUUCCAUUUUGUCUAAAAAAGUAUCCCAAAUUGGUGUUAUUCGACCUAGCAUCAUAGGGGAAUAUGUGAUCCAUAAUGAUACUUUCAAUUAUUGUUCUAAAAAGAUUAUAUUUAUAUGGAGUGAUUUCGAAAUGAUAGACGACUCAAUAAAUUGUUAGGGAAGAAAUUAAGAAGAGAAAACAACCGAUUAAUUAUCAAUUAUGUUAUGACCCAAAUCAAUUGUGUUUGGCAAGACUAAUUAAGAGAGAAGAGUAAUAGCAGGAAAUCAAUUUCACAGUCAAAUCAUCCUAUUUUUGGAAGGAUUUAUAAUUCAGCAAAAAUUAAUAGAGACAAUCCAGAGGGAAAAACCAAAUCCUUUCUCCUCUUCCACUGCAAAAAGACACAGUUAAUCUGUAAACCCUCUCUGAAUCACUCAAAACAAAACACAAUAUUAAUCAUGGGGUUCUUUGGCCAAACUACAACGGCAAAAGUAGGUGUGAGCUCAGGUCUCAAUUUCAAAAGAAAUAUCCAGUCUAGCUCCCAAUUUAAGGUGCUUAACCUACCCACCCACUCACCUAGGAAGCAGCAGUUUAGAACAUAUUUAAAAAACCCAAACUCCAAGUCUAUUUUCUCAUCUCUCUCUCUCCCCCCACCCCAACAGCACUUGAGUUUGUCAACUUGGAUCUGAGCUCUGAAAACUGGUGAAUAUAUUGUCUGGACUACUAAAGUUUCAAUUCAGAAAAUUCCUUGUACUCUAGAUGUUUGAUGAAAUGCCUCUAUGGUAUAACUAUUUCAUUCAAGCGUUUUUUUGUAUGCAUUUUCUGAACGGUGGUUUAGUGUUUGUUAAUACUUUGUUCCUUUAGAAAUGAAACAAAACAAGAAGUUUUAGGCCGGUUCCAAGAUCAACGGGAUUUUUUCUAAGUUCUCUAUCUCCCUCAAUGAUUUGCAUGGAUUUUUUUCGAGUGGGAGAGGGAUCUAGCAGGGUGAUCCUAUGUCCCUGUAUCUUUUCACGCUUGUUAUGGAGGUGUUCACUAGAAUCCUCAAUUCCCAAUCGGCUAAGGUGGGCUUUAACUUCUUUUGGAGAUGCAAAGCAACUAGGCUCUCUCACCUAUUCUUUGCAGACGAUGUGUUAUUAUUUUCGGAAGCUAAUAUGUCAUCCCUUCGCCUUCUAUUGGAUGGAAUUCGUUCAUUUGCUAGCUGGUCUGGCCUUAACCCCAAUCUUAACAAAAGCGAAAUAUUUCUUUCGGGCAAUUCUCAAGCUCUAAAGGACUCCUUAGUGAGUACUUCUGGUUUUCAGUUGGGCUCUCUCCCUUUUAGGUACCUCGGGGUACCCAUUUUAUCAUCAAGAUUAGGUAAAUUGGAUUGCAUAUCUCUGGUGAAUGCUAUAACUUUAGGAGUCCAAUCUUGGACCAACUGGUUUCUUUCUCUUGCGGGCCGUCUGCAAUUGAUCAAAUUGGUCCUUCACUUGAUCCAAGUUUAUUGGUCUAGUGUUUUUAUCCUUCCUUCUUUGGUCACAAAGCGGAUUGAGUAGAUUUUUCGUCAGUUCCUAUGGAAAGGACCGACUCUUGGUUCCGAGGGGGUGAAGGUGGGAUGGGAUGAAGUAUGCUUACCUGAGGAGGAAGGUGGUUUGGGCAUCCGGUCCAUUCGGGUUAGUAAUAUUGCUUCUAUAAUUAAACACCUUUGGCUCCUCUUUACUGAUAAAGAAUUGCUUUGGUGCAAAUGGAUCCAUUCCAACUUCAUCAAGCGAAAGAAUUUAUGGGUUAUUCCAAAACCUACUAUAAGUUCGUGGGCUUGGAAAAAGCUGCUUGGCAUUCGUGAUUUAAUUCAACAUCAAUUCAAGUGGCACAUAGCCAAUGGAUUAUCGACAUCUUUUGGUUCGAUCAUUGGCAUUCUCGAGGACCACUCUAUAAGCUUUUCUCAGAUCGAGACAUCUACUGCUCUGGCAUCCCUCGGCUUGCUUCUAUUGCGGCUGGUCUGACUACCCUCCCCCCUCCUACUGCAGUUUCGGCAACCAUAGUGAGUUGGGAUGAUCCCCUCCCGAACCUCAAUAACACUAAUGACCGACUCCUAUGGCUUGGCCAUUCUUCAGGGGUGUUCUCAACGGCUUCUACUUCGACUCUUCUAAGGCCGGGGGGCCAUCUUGUUCUUUGAUCGAGAUUCAUUUGGAAUUCCUCUUUGCCCCCCCCCCCCUCAGUUAUCAAUCACAUUUGUGGUUGAUCACUUGCAACCGUUUGCCGACCCAGGUUGUGCUGCUUGCGUAUGUGAGAAUUUUGGACUCCUCUUGUGCGUUCUGCUCUUCUAGGCCCGAUUCGGUGGACCACUUGUUUUUUGGUUGCUUUGUCACGGGUAGCCUUGGUGCUUUCUAGGCGAAUAACUAUAACCUGCCCUAGCGAAAUUCAUCGUGGAGGAAUAACUUAGCUUGGGUUAUCGAGCGCCUAUCCGAUACAAGCUUCCAUCAAUUGGUGGCUCGGUUUGGUUUUGUUGCCUUGUGCUACCUUAUAUGGAAAGAAAGGAACAAUAUCAUCUUCCACGGUCAAACCUUAUUCCUCCCAACCCUAAAGGAACAUCUUCGCAAAGCUGUCAAGAAUAGAGCCAUUACCUUUUCCAAGGUCACGGAUACGACCCGUAAUAAAAGACUUCAGCUCAAUUGGGGUAUCCACCCCUCGAUCUUUCGUUAAUCUACUAUCCUUUCGCUGGUCGGUGCCUCUUUUAUGCUCCUGGUUGGUUGUUUAUUGCGGAUCCUUUUCGACCUAAGUUCUUGGACACCCCUUUCCUUGUCCCUUUCUCCCUUUGAGGUUCUCCUUUCUCGGUUGGUCCUAUUAUGCUCGUUGCUGGUUUGCUAUUUGUCUCCGGUGCUUUCAAGAUGAUGGCCCUUGCUGCUUCGUUGAUGUGGGUGUUGCCCUCUCGUGUGAUGCGGCAUCUAGCUUCUCCUCAGCAAUCGGUGGCUUCACCUUGGUGUUUCGCUGUCUUGCUGUUUUUUGUUUCUCCCUUGUUUCUCUGUCUCGUGUGCGGGCUGCUUUUUUUGGCCCUUCUCUCCUCUGCUAUAGCUAUUGUUUUAGCCUUUUUCUUUGCUGCUGUUCUUUCUUUCCCUGUUCUGCAGCUUUACCCCCGGUACCCUUCCACUCUUUUGACUACCUUGUCUUCUGAGUGUAAGUUUUUUGGUUCCGAGGUCCUUAGCUGUACUGUUGUAUAGCCUCCUGGUUCAAAAGUCAAUAUAAUACUUACCUUUUACCAAAAAAUAAAAAUAAAUAACCCCGGAACUAAUCAUCUCUAAGCAAAAGAAUAUGAUGGAAUGCAAUUUAAUACAAAAUAAGUUAUAUUUAAAUUUAGAAUUCACAAUCUUUACGGACUUCAAAUUUAGGGAGGAAUUUAGAUCAAAUAAUUAGGGGUGACAUGAGGACUAUCCUGAUACGAAUAAUAAUAUGGCUAUGUCCUCUCAUUAAUAAAUCUCGAAAGAGAGCAGUCUCAUCUAGCUAGGUCAUGGCUGUUGUCACGGCAACUUUUGCACCAGUGGAGACAUAUGUAGUGUCCCUCUGCCACCAUGAUCCAGACAUUAUAAAAACAGAUGUCAUUGACUUAAGUACUAUUCAGUCAAUUUCUAUUUUGCAGGUGAUGGCAGCUCGGAAGCAUGCAGACAAUGUUGGUUGGACCAGCCCCUCAUGGACCCUAUUCCAUUUGCUUUUGGAAAUCAAAGAUGCCCCGCUCAUUCACCCAUUUCAGUCAGCAACACAAGCCGAUGCUGAACGACAAAAGUAAAUCGGAGCAAAUUAAAGGAGAUAGUAAAUAAUGUUCACGCGUUCCCUUUUCCAAACCACUUGUCUUGUAAGUGAGACGCCAGCUAAUUCUGGAUCAAUCAGUUCACGGGAGUUUAGACUCUCUUGAUUUUUGUCCGCUGAGUCCAAAUCGCUUGACAGGUGUACUUGCACCGACUCACAGAGAGCAUGGCCAUUUUUAGUGUGCGUCCUUUCGAAUUUAUGAUAAUCCCAUUUUUUCCACUUUGUAAUUCCUUCAUGUUUCUUCCUGCUAUAGCAAUUUGUGACUCCCACCAUUCAAAAGAUCACCUGCUGAGCAUGAAUGAAACUAUGCAAAAAUCGAAGGGAGGACAAAUUGGGGAACUUAAGCUUGCGGUGGUUGCUUUUGAAUCGAUAUAUUGUAGUGCUUGGGCACCACACUUACUUGCAUGGCGUGACGAUGGAGUUCACAUGAAAGAUCUGCGAACAUUAGCUUGAGGUGAGCUUCACUUUCUUGGGAUAAUGUGCGUAGAGAGAGAGAGAGAGAGGAACAAUAAUCGGAGGUCAUAAUCUCAGAAAUUUCUGGGAUAUUGAAUGAACGUGACUCUUCUUUAACUUUUGCGGGGAAGAAAGUGGCAAAGUUCUGACAAAUGGGGAAUUUUUAAAGCCCAGCUUGCUUUGAAAGAAUAUCGUCUGGGAAAACAACGUACAUUGUCGAAUUAAUUAGUUUGAAGGAUGUGGUCUGAAAAAUAUAGAAAUUGACGAGUAGAUCCACAUAGAAUUUUUAACAAAGUUCUUUUUUUGAAAAAAUAUGAAAGACACUUUCCAAAAGCAUAUGCGAGAACCUUCUAGACAUUUAUGUCAUGGUUAAUCUUGCUUACGCAAAAAAAAAAAUGUGAUCGAAGGAAAUGGAGUUCAAAGAGUAAUAUAUCAAGGAAGUGUCUCACCGUGCUAAAAUUGGAAUCGACUCAAUCACAAAGCAAUAACCUUGGUAUUGGCGAAACUUAUGGUCUUGCAAUUGCAAGUAAUGGACUAGAUUUUCGGUCUGCUAAUUUGGAUCACCUAUUAUUGCUCGUACGGCAAAAAUAGUUUAAGAAUUCAAUACCAUAGGUGAGAUAAACUGCAAAAGGAUAACGUUUUAUAGAACACAUACAUGCAAACUUUCCUACUAAAUCUAAGUAACAAAAAUCAUUCGAAGUCCUGGAACAUCUCUUGCCAAGAAAGUUAUUAAAUGGCACAGUUGUUGAUAGUUCAGCAAAAUUGAAAAUUACUAUCAAAAUUUAAAAUAUUAUGCAACCUUUAAAAAUUAUGGAAAAAUAUGUGACUUUAUAUGUCAACAUUUAUAUGUUACGAUAGUUUCAAAUACUCUCAGAUAAAAGAAGAAAUUAAAGUGCAUGUCUCACGAAAUUUGAAUUAAGUAAAACAUAAAAGUUAAAAGUCAAUCAAGACGCUUUCAAAAUAAGCAUUGAGAUGGUUUUUUUUUAACACAUGUUGACAUUGUUAUUUUUGAAGUGAAAGACAACGUUAGGGUAUAAUUCAUACCGUUCCUUAUUAAAAUUUAUAUGUCAUGUUACUAAAGUCAAACAUUUUUGAAUUCGAAACUCGACUUGAUUAAAUAUUGUAACUCUUCAUGCAUGGCUAUUCUACAACUCUAAUUUUUUUUUUAAUAAAUCGUUUAUAUUACGACCCUAGUUAGUAUACAUCUACAUCAAUGUAAUAGCAACUUAAGAUGAUUGUCACCCACCAUCUUCCAUCUUUCCAAUUUAUACUAAAAAAAGAAAGCAAAAACAAUAUGCAGGUAGUUAUGUUUUAGGCCAAGCUAUGCAUAUAAUAUUGAGUAGUGCUAUAGCUAAACCAAAGCUAACGCCCAUAACUGACACAGUGACAAGUAUCGUGGGAGAUUGUGAGGAGGUACUUAAACUAACAAAUAAAAUGUCAUAUAACUUCAUGUAUGGAUUCAUAAUUAUUCUCAAUUUAUAUGUCUUUAUUCUUUAAUGUAAAUUGUAUUAAUGAGUGUCUUUGAUGCAUUUAUCUAUCACAUUUAAUAAUAAAAUGUUUCAAUUUUUAAUGCAUUAAUAAUUUAUAAUACGAAAAGAAAUAAUGCAAUUAAAAAUGCAAACUUUUCUUAACUAAAUGUUUAAUGUUGUAAAAUAUCGCGUGGCGAAUAUAUAAUAGAGAAGAGAUUAAAGAAGAGAAAGCAAGUGAACACUAGAGAUAGUAGCAAGAUGAGAGAGUUUUAUUUCUAGUAUCUCACUGUCGUGUUUCUGUGUGAUUGUGUAUUGUACAUCAAAACUAACCUCCUAUUUAUAGGAGAACAAGAAUGUACUUAUCAUUAAUAUCAAUGUAUCGAAUGAUAUAUGUACAGGAUAAGGGAGACGAAUGUUCAUUGUAUAGGGAGAUGUACUUAGAACAUUUGAUACAAAUGUACCAUAAUAAGUACAUUGGAUAAGAUGAAUAUAAUGAAUAUUCAUUCAUGUAUUCUAUCCAUUCAUGUAUUUCAUAACACUCCCCCUUGAAUAUUCAUCAUAUUCAUUACAAAUGUGCAUUGAAUGAUACUGCCUCAUUAAAAACCUUAAGCUGGAAAAACUCAGUGGGAUAAAAACCGGACAAAAGGGAAAAAGAGUGCAAAGCACAAAUGUUAUGAUCUCUCCCUUUUAUGGAUGCAUUAAUUGCCUCGUUAAAAACUUUAAGCCGGAAAAACCCUAUGGGAAAAAACCGGACAUAAAGAAAAAAGAGUGCAAUGCAUAUAUAGCCACUCCUGGGGCUAAUCAUUAUUGCAUCUUGUGAACUAGCCACAUAUCAAUGCUGCAAUGUAUAAUUCAUAAUAUCUCCCCCUCAAUUGAGCCAUAUAGCCACUUCUGAGGCUAAUCAAUCUUACAUCUUAUGAACUCGCCUCAUACCAAUGCCAUAUACUAAUUUCUCAAAGGUUGAUGUUGGCAAUGAUUUGGUAAAAAGAUCUGCAAGAUUAUUUAUGGAUCGAAUCUGUUUAACAUCAAUUUGUUGACUUUCUUGAAGUUCAUGAAUAUAGAAAAAUUUCGGCGAGAUAUGCUUGGUCCUAUCACCUUUGAUAUACCCUCCCCUGACUUGUGCAACACAAGCAGCAUUAUCUUCAUAAAUUAUAGUGGGAGAAUUGGUAACCGAUAUUAAGCAACAAGAAUUAUGAAUAUGUGUUAUAACGGAUCUUAUCCAAACACACUCUCUUCCAGCUUCAUAUAAAGCAAUAAUUUCAGAGUGGUUAGAAGAUGUAGCUACUAGCGAUUGCUUCGUAGAACGCCAAGAAAUAGCGGUGUCGUUAUAACAAAAUAAAUACCCGGUUUGAGAGCGAGCUUUAUGUGGAUCGAAUCUAUAUCCAGCAUCAGCAUAUCCAACUAAACUAGAGUUAGUGGAAUCCUUGAAAUAAUAUAAUCCCAAAUCUAUGGUUCCUCGGAGAUAACGGAAAAUAUGUUUAACUCCAUUUCAAUGUCUCCGAGUUGGCUCAGAACUAAAACGUGCCAAUAAAUUUACCGCAAAAGCGAUAUCUGGUCUCGUACAUUGUGCCAAGUACAUCAAAGCCGCAAUUGCAUUGAGAUAUGGUACUUCAGGACCAAGUAUCUCUUCAUCAGAUUCUCUAGGACGAAAUUGGUCCUUUUGGGGAUCCAGAGACCUUACAACCAUAGGGGUGCUCAAUGGAUGAGCUUUGUCCAUGUUGAAACGUUUAAGCAAUCUUUCAACAUAUGCUAAUUGAUGGACGAUUAUUCCAUUUGCUUUAUGCUCAAGCUCUAGACCAAGACAAAGUUUGGUUUUACCCAAAACUUUAACUUCAAACUCCCUUUUCAAAUAUUCAGCAGUUUCAGCUAACUCUUCUGGAGUUCCAAUUAAAUUUAUAUCGUCAACAUAAACUGCUAUAAUAGCAAAUCCAGUUUCUGAUUUCUUAAUAAACACGCAUGGGCAGAUAGGAUCAUUUUUAUACCUUUCCUUAAUUAGGUACUCACUUAGGCGUUGAUACCACAUGCGACCGGAUUGCUUUAACCCGUACAAGGAUCUUUGCAAUUUUAUUGAGAAUAAAUUGCGGGGAGUGCAUGCUUCAGGCAUUUUGAAUCCCUCAGGAAUUUUCAUAUAAAUAUCAGAGUCUAAUGAGCCAUAUAGAUAUGCCGUCACAACGUCCAUAAGACGCAUUUCCAAUCUUUAAAAGAUUGCUAGGCUAAUGAGAAAACGAAAUGUAAUCAUAUCCAUCACAGGUGAAUAUGUCUCAUUAUAAUCAAUCCCAGGUCUCUAGGAGAAUCCUUGGGCAACGAGUCGGGCUUUAUACUUGACAACCUCAUUUUUCUCAUUUCGUUUUCGGAUAAAUAUCCAUUUAUAUCCAACGGGCUUUACAUUAUCAAGGAUACGAGUUACAGGUCCAAAAACCUCUCGUUUAGUUAGGAAAGCUAAUUCAGCUUUAAUUGCUUCCUCCCACUUAUGCCAAUCUUGCCUUUGACGACAUUCAAUAAUAGAUUGUGGUUCACAAUCACCAUCCAUAAUUUGAUGAGCAACUGAGAAUACAAAAGCAUCAUCAAUGAUGAUUUCAUUUCGAUCCCAAAUUUUAUUACAAUAUGUAAUGGAAUUCUCAGUAUUCCCGGGGCUAGUGCUCCUUUCAUGGGUUUGCGCCUCUUCAGGGGCAAUAAGCUCUUUGGGAGCAAGCACAACGCCAGGCUCUUCUGGAGCGGAUUCCUGAUUCUUUCUCCUUCGUUUUCGAGGAGCAGUAUCUUUUGAUCCUAUCGGUCUACCACGCUUCAAGUGCGGGGGAUUUUGAUCCAUUUUAGCCCGUUCUUCGGGAACAACUAUCCUAGCUGGAGCAUUUGCAGCUAGAAUAUAAGACUUCGUUACCUUAGUAGCAUCAUUAAAUGCGUCAGGAAGUCUAUUGGCCAUAGCCUGUAAAUGGAUCAUGCGCUGCACCUCGUUUUCACAUUCAGGAAUCCUUGAGUCUAAUUGAGAUAAAUUUUUCUCAUUCUAGGAGAAAACCUUAACUGUUUUUUGUUUUGCAGUCAUGGAAGUUGUAGGUAUCCCAAUUGAUGGAAACCUAGUCUCAUCGAAAUGACAAUCUGCAAACCUGACAGUAAAAAGAUCAUCAAUAGUUAGUUCCAAGAACCUAAUGAUAGAUGGUGAAUUAAACCCAACAUAAAUGCCCAAACGGCGUUGGGGACCCAUUUUCGUCCUUUUUGGCGGUGCUACAGGCACCUGUACUACACAACCAAAGGUGCGUAGAUGUGAAAUAUCUAGUUCAUAACCAAGAACCAUUUGAAAGGGAGAUUGUAAAAUACUAGCAAUGGGGCGUAAUCUUAUUAGAGUUGCCGCAUGCAAAACUGCAUGACCCCAUGCUGUAUCGUUGAGAUUCGUUCUCAAUAAUAGAGUGCGGGCAAUGAUUUAGAUACGUUUAAUCAAGGAUUCUGCCAAUCCAUUUUGAGUAUGAAUAUAUGCAACCGGGUGCUCAACCUCGAUUCCGAGUGAAGCACAAUAUGUAUCAAAACUCUUUGAUGUAAAUUCACCAGCAUUAUCCAUCCUUAUGCUCUUAAUUGGAUAAUCAGGGAAUUGUGCCCGGAGCUUUAUAAUCUGCCCAAGUAAACGUGCAAAUGCAACAUUGCGCAUAGAUAAUAGGCAAACAUGGGACCAUCUACAGGAUGCGUCCACUAAUACCAUAAAAUAUCGAAAUGGUCCACUUGGUGGUUGUAUUGGUCCACAAAUAUCACCCCGAAUUCUUUGCAAGAAUAAAGGAGAUUCAAAAUUAACAUUUGUUAUAGAAGGUUUGAUAAUGAGCAUUCCUUGUGAGCAAGCCUCACAAUUAUAAUCUUUGGACAACAAUAUCUUUAUAUCCUUUAAAGGGUGCCCUUUUGUAUUUUGAAUUAUCCUACGCAUCAUUGAAGCGCCAGGAUGACCAAGGCGAUCAUGCCACAGUCCAAACUGAUCAGGGCUUACCAAUCUCCAGGAUAUGGUAGCGUAGGUUUCAACGGCUUUAAUCAUGACACAAUACAAACCCAUAGAAGAAGCUUCUAGCUUCUCAUGGAUGGUCUUCAGGCCCAUCUUAUAAGAGGAAAUGCCAAUAUAUUCCUUAUCUUGCUCAUAAAUAGUCUCAAUAUGGUACCCAUUACGGCGUACAUCUUUGAAACUAAGCAGAUUCAUUUUUGAUUGAACGCUUAGAAACGCAUUCUCAAUGUGCAGGAUUGUACCAUUUGGCAAAAUAAUUGUAACAUUCCCAAAACCAUCAAUAAUCGAAACAGGACUUGAUAUUGUAUGGAUUUGUGCCUUACGCAAUGUCAUACUCGAGAAAAAGUGUCUACUACAAAAUAUAGUAUGUGUUGUUGCACUAUCAAGCAAACAAACAUCUUCAUUUUUCUCGGUAUUUUCCAUUUGCAUUUAUAUUGACAACUUCAGGUGUCAAGUAUCAUAAAAGUUGCAUAUUAGUUAUAUAGUCGAAUAAAAUUUCAAAGAUAAAUAUUAUAUAAGGUUCAUAAGUAUUUCAUAAAGAACAAUAAAAAAAAGUAAUACAUUUAAAGCGAAACAACAUAAAUUUCAAAGUUCAAAUUAUUAUCCAUCAAUCUGAUUCAUCAAAGUAAUCAGAGGUCCUCAAAGAAAUCAGAGACAUCCAAUGAUGCAUUUGCUACUUCAGGAGCAAGAGGAGUCCCACCAACGGAGAUAUUGUUGGCCUCAACAAUGGUUAUGGCAGUAGGAUUGAUUUCAAUGGCAUGAGAUUCACCACGCUUGUCCGUAUUCUUUAAAGAUGCCUGGUAUAGGUCAACAAAAUGUUUUGGCGUACAACAGGUACGUGACCAGUGCCCAAUCAUGCCACAGCGAUGACAAAUACUUUCAUUAAUCACCUUCUUUUGCUUCUUUUCUUUGCCAUGAUUCAGGCCAAAGUUUGAUUUCCUAGGGCGGUUAAAUUUCUUGCCAUCCCUUCUAGGAUUAUAUUCUUGCCUGCGCUUAUAGCCCUUAAAAUGGCCAGUAUUUUUUCUCAAAGUUAGCAUGUGCUUCAGGCAAUGCUUUUGAGCCAGCAGGUCUAAGAUCAUGAUUUUUGAGCAACAAUUCAUUAGUUUGUUCGGCAGUAAGAAGCACAUAAAUUAAUUCAUAAUAUGUGGCAAAUUGACGUUGCCGGUAUUGCUGUUGCAAUACAAUAUUCGAAGCAUGAAAGGUGGAAAAAGUUUUCUCAAGCAAUUCUGCAUCAGUGAGUUUGAUACUGCAUAACUCUAGCCGAGAAACGAUAUCAAAUAAAGCAGAAUUAUAGUCAGACACUGAUUUAAAAUCUUGCAGUCUGAGAUUUUGCCAAUCAUAUUGUGCUUGAGGGAGGAUAACAGUUUUUGUAUGAUCAUACCUAUCCUUCAACAUCCUCCACAAGAUAUGUGGGUCUCGAACGGAUAAAUAUUGAGUCUGCAGGCUCUCAUGCAAAUGACGGCGAAUGAAAAUCAGCGCAUUUGUUUUAUCCUUUUUAUUUGAGGUUCCAUCCUCUGUAAUUGUAUUAGCGAGACAUUGCCAUUUGAGGUGCAUUUCCAUGUCAAGGCACCAGGAUAGAUAAUUCUUUCCACUCACUUCCAGGAUGUGAAAUUUGGGCUUUUCAAUAUUUGUCAUAAUCCUUGCAAAAAUAAAUCAUUAAAUUAAUUAAAAGGAUUUCCAAAUAUCCACCUCUACUUCAGGAGCAGAAAGAUACUUUUAGAUUUGAAUUUUUGGCUUCGGGCCAAGAAAAAUAAAAAUGAAGAAUUGAUAGGAGAAGAUGAAGUAUAAGUUGAUUAAUAAAAAUAAUACCCACCUUGCAAAAUUUACUUACUCAAUCGGUAGAUCUUCGUGCUGAUAACGUGUUGUAAAAUAUCGCGUGGUGAAUAUAUAAUAGAGAAGAAAUUAAAUAAGAGAAAGCAAGUGAACACUAGAGAUAGUAGCAAGAUGAGAGAGCUUUAUUUCUAGUAUCACACUGUCGUGUUUCUGUGUGAUUGUGUAUUGUACAUCAAAACUAAACUCCUAUUUAUAGGAGAACAAGAAUGUACUUAUCAUUAAUAUCAAUGUAUCGAAUGAUACAAGUACAGGAUAAGGGAGACGAAUGUUCAUUGUAUAGAGAGAUGUACUUAGAACAUUUGAUACAAAUGUACCAUAAUAAGUACAUUGGAUAAUAUGAAUAUAAUGAAUAUUCAUUCAUGUAUUCUAUCCAUUCAUGUAUUUCAUAACAUUUAACAACUAUUUCGGAGAUUUCGUCCACAGUUAUUUUACUAAUUAGAAGCGGAAAUCAUUGCGGUGCCCAAGAUUGAUUGAAGAUUCUGAUUUGCUUCCAGAAGCAGCAAACUGCUGGCGCCCGCCUUUUCGGGAGUCGAUAAUUUUUUUUGACGAUUCCGAGGACAACUAUUUAUGCGAAAAUGAUGACCCAAAAGAAGGAAGGAGAGGUUCUCUCUGUACAGGGAAUGAGAAUCAGUGGAGGAUUUUCUCGAAGUUCGGCCAUCAGAUGCGGUGUGCAUGCCUCACUAAAUUUUGCUUUUCUGGCUUAUAAAUUGGGAAGAUUCAACGAAACCUUGCUGGACAAAUGACGACCGAAAGCGAAGAAUACUUUAUGGGAGAUAGUCUUGACAUUCACACACGAGGAAGACCAGGAAGGAUUAGUAGUGUCAGUGCGGGUCGAUUACAUUUUUUAGUCAAUUCGAUUAAGUGCUCCACCACCAUCUGCAGAAUAUAUGCACGAGGCCAAUCAUUCUCUUCUUGACGAUAAAAAGUUCUUUUUUACUCAGAUGAAGCUUCAUUAACGGGAAAGUAGGGUGAGAAUAAUGAAGAUUUUGCUAUCGUUGUCACCAGCCACAAGGUGGGGUUCAUUUAAUCUCUUUGAUCCAAAAAAUAGGAUUCAUAUAAUUUGUAGUCGUAACAUAGUUAUCGUGAGAUUUCUAGUACCACCUUAUCUACUUUAUUUGGAAAAGAAUAUGCGUAGAAUGAAACCAUCGAUCCAUACUGCAAAUCAACGGUUGGAUCUAAGUCCUAACCCCCUCCUAUGCAAUCCUUUGGUGGGACUUUGGAAGGUGAUGCUUUCAUCAGCUUAAACACGUUUUAUUCCUGCAUUUGUUGAUAACUUGAUACUUCAUUAAUAAAUAUGACCUGACUUUGGAAUAAUCAUGUGAAUAUGCUGUUUGCUUAAGGGAAGUUAGGCAAGAUUUGCACUUUGACGGAACCCCUAAUACCAGAUUAUUUAUACGCGUUGAUAUCAAAAAUUGAACUUACAUAUAAAUAGUUCCACAUCAUAUUAUUAGCCUCCAAUCUUGGGUUGUUGGCCUCAAGGUAAAGGACAACUACCUUAGAUCUUUAGGGUAACAAACGGGAGCAAGUGGCAACGGUGGUAACGCUACGACUGGUGGCAAUCCCUACAGUGACAAUGGUGAGCAAUGACAACAAUAUAGACUUAAUGACAAGACAUGACAAGUGGGAGAGAGAGGUCGUUAUGGUUAGUUUUAAAGUAAGAUUUUUUGUCGAGAAACAAAUUUUUAUUUUCCGACAUUUGAAUCGAUUAGGAAAAUGAGUUAAUGAAUAAUCCUUUUAUAUUCAACAAAAAAUCUAUGUUUAAAUAGCCUUGCAAUGUCUCGGCAAGUGAGCGAAGGAAUAGAUGAAAGCCUCGUGAAGUGUGUCGUGUUAAAGGCGGAUUACUGGCAUCAGCAACGAACGAUUAACUCCCACUUGACUUGCGAUCAGAAAGCACGAGAGGCUUUGACGAUUGAGCUUCAAUGGGAUUGGAGUUUCGAUACUCAGAACUCGAAGAGAUGAAGAGAGAAAGAGCAUGGAAAUCAGUAAAGUAAAAUAAAAAACACUGAAUCAAUUGGAAGACGAGGAAGCUGCCGUGCAACGAAACAGGGCAUAAAGGGGUGGCUGGGUAGGCGUGACGGUGAAAUUGCUUGCUUUGAGGAAGAAACUGUCGAAGAUUGUGCUCCCCAGGAGUCCAAGAUGCCCUUCGCAUUCACCCGAUUUGGUCAACAACACGAGCCGGAAAAACGACAAAAAGCAAGUGAAAGCAGAUAUAUAAUAACGUUCACUGUCGAUUUUUCUAAACCACUUCUCUAGUGAGCAUCAGCCGCUGGAUCAGGUGAAAGCAGGACAUGCGAGGUUAGACUUUCCUAGACAAUAUCUGCCGAGUUCAAAUCGCUUACUGGUGGUAGUAGCGCCACCUCAGAGAAGCUGUAGCCACUUCUGGUGUGGCCCGUGAUUAUCCACCUUUGUCCACUUUGUAAUUCCUUAUUAUUAUUGAUCCACAUAUUCAAUUUUUGGGCUAACCCAAAGUCAUAUUGCCUACUGGUCUUACUGGAAAAGCAUCUAGCAGACUAGCACUCCAGCUUUUUGAAACGUUUUGGUAAUUCCCCAAAUAAAGAAGACUAAUCUCUCCGUUUCUCAACUCACACAAGAUUAUGAUUGUUAUUUUAGUUUGAUGGAUCUGGUCUCUGUUUUAACGUCUCGAAGACCCAUCAGGUUUUGAUAACGGACGGUAAUCAGCAUGGGUUGUAUGCCGUCAGAGAUCCACAAAAUUUAGCAUUUUUCUCUAGAAGGCAAAAAUCAGCAAAUAAGCAAGUUUGGCAUCAAAGAUUGGGACCCCCAUAUAGUCAAAUUUUGCAGUAUUGAGAAGGAAUAAUUUUAUUUCUGUCAGUAACAGGCCCGUAGACUUUGGAAUAGGUCAAAUUAUUUUAAGUGCUAAAUUGUCAAUUCGUUCUCAAGAUUCUCGAUUGUUUUGUGCUCUGGGCCAGAUUCAUAGUGUGAUAUAGGGGACCGCGGGAGAUGUCUCGGUCGUUCAAUGUUCUCUAGAUUCUUCAUUUGCAAUCGAUGACGAUAGAGUUUGACCGAUUAGGUGAGAUGAGUUAAAUUAAAAUGACUCAAGUCAUGGAAAAUCGACAAUCAUGUGGGGUGGAUAUUGAUAGCUACAUGAUACAGUUAGGAUAACAAGCAGUCGAGAGAUAUUGAACAAAUGUCAUGGCAUCAAAGAAUAAACACAGGUGAUUAAGUAUCUUAUGGCUAUGUGUUGGAGACAAGAGGAGAACACAUAGAUCAAGAUGUUGUAUAAAGACACAAAUAUCGAGUGAUGGUUAAGUAUACUAGCGGCAUUGGAGGUCGUAACUGCUUAUGAAUAAUGAUUGUCAACGUACACGCCAAGAACCUAGAAGGAUGUGCAUCCGUAACUGCGUUUAGAGAGAUAAUUGCAUAUUGUAAUCGUGGCUAGUAAGCCAUAUAUAUCCACGAUUUUCAUUGUAACUAGUCUUUUUAUUUCUAGCAUUUAUCUUGCACUUUUAUCGUCCUUGCAUUUUAGUUUUACCAUAUAACACAUCAAAGACUUGCUCCAAGAUUGCCAUUGAACCCAUCUUCAUAUAAAAAUAAAAAAUAAAAACCCUAGAAUCAACUUUUGAUGAAAGAUAUUUAUUAUUAAGGUGAACUUCCAUUUUUUGUGAAACAAGCGGGUGUCAACAUAUGCAUGUGUCACGGCCCGAAAGAAAGCAUGUCCAAGAGAUUCCUACGGGAUGGGCGUGACACAUCCGACCCUCGGCUUAUCCCGUUUGUUAGGGUUUUCUCGAGUCUUCUAAAAUACUCCUAGGGGCAGACGGUAAAGUGCCAUAUUAGGCAUAGGUUACCAAUGCUCUUUUUACUUUAUCAAAUCUCUAACAAAGAAAAAAGUAGGACUUUAUAUUUUAUUUCUUCCCUAAAUAGGAGGAACUCAAUUCUCACAUAGGCUUGAGAUAAUUCGAAAGGCCUUUGGGAAUGUGCUGGCUCCCAUAUUUUUAGCUGAACCACCACAGCACCAUGGUCAAGAGCUUAGGGCUGAAGCAGUUCAAAAGAAAAAGAUGAAUAGAGAAAAGAAAAAGAGACCCUAGACAAAAAUGCCCUGAUCAUGACUUGAAAAGUGAUGCGAGAAGCACAUGUGAGUUCAUGCCUUCAUUUGAUACUAUUAGCCACUUCAAACCCUAGUUUGAGAUCAUGUUCACUUUGGAUCCUCUUUUGAAAAAACGAUAUUAGUGCAAGCUCUUAUUUGAAAUAUUUCUUCAAAAGACUGUCGUAUCAUCCUUAAAAAAUUCAAUAGUUCUUAAAAUUAACAUUCAAAUUUUAUGUUGAAAUUUAUAGCAAUCUUGCAAUUAUUAAUUAUGAGAAGCUAAUUCCUUCCAUCUCAAUCUUCGCUUUCUCCAGUGUGAUGUGAUAAACGUCUAUCAUGAGGAAUCGAGGGAACCUGAAUAUCAAAUCCUUAAGAAAAAACCUCAUCCUUUUUAUCGUAGCCAUUAUUGGACUUUUCAUUUUUUUAAAAAUAAUAUCCCACUUUUUAAUAGACCACAUUUAUACAAUAAUGCGUUUCUCUUUCAUCUAGGUUCCUGUUGCUCACCUGACAUCGUAAAAAAUAAAGAAUUAUGUUCAUUAGAAAUCCUAAAACUUAUCAAGAAAAUAUAAUUGAGUCCUAAAAUUUAUUAAGAAAGUGCAAUCAAGUCUUUCAAUUACCUCCAUCCAAUUUGGCUAGCAGUAAAUGAUGACGUGGCUUUUUAAAUAUUUUAUCUCUCCUAUAUGGCAAUGAUGUGGUUACGACAUAGUUUUGAUCCAAAUUUGAUUGUUAAUAUAAUUUUUCUUUAAAUUAUAUUAAAAAUAAACUAAUUUUUUUAUUAAAAAAAAAAAAAAAGACAAAGAACCAAGCAACAAGGGCUGCCACCUCCACCACCCACCAUCAUUGGGAAGGGCUGGCGGUGGUGGGGGAAUGGUCGGUUGGGGAUCGCAAAACCCCAGCCAAUGUCAACCUUCAUCUAGGGGGUGAGAGUCACGAGAGGGCCAUGACCCUUUCCCAGAUUUGGACAAGGGCCUACAGGCCCUCUGCUGAUGUUGGCAAAGGUUGUCGGCCCCUAAUGGGCCCCGAUGACCCUGCCGGCUCACCCCCACACUCGCCAACCCCUCUUAGUGAUUUGAGUGUUAUACUUUAUGAUUUUGCCAUGUCAUCACCAUGUAGGAAUGAUAAAAAAAUUUAUAAAAAAAAAAAAAAGCCGUAUUGACAUUUUUCAUUGGCCAAAUUGAACGGAAUUUAUGAAAGGACUCAAUUGAACUAAUUUGACUAAUUUUAGGACUUGAUUAUACAUUUUGUAUAUUUUAGGACCACAUUGUACUUUUAUUAUAAGUUUUAGGUUUUCUAGUGAACAUAUCCCUAAAAAAAAUGCGUGAUCCAUACUAAUGCUUGCUAUUCUUGUCUAACAUUAUAUUUAAAUGGAGUGGCUUUUGAAGAGGAUAACAGAUUCGAUAAUUCGUUAGGAAUUAAAAAAGAAGAGAAAACAAUGGAUUAAUUGUGUUUGCUUGGCAAGACCGAUUAAGAGAGAGAGAGAAGAAAUGGAAGGGAAUCGAUUGUUUAGUUAAAUCAUCCUACUUUUGGACGAAUUUAGAACUCACUAAAAAUCUAUGGGGAUAAUCUGAGGGGGAAACUUCAAAUUAUUUCUCUCUCCUCUACUAAAACAAAUCGAAGGUUAUUUGCAAACCCUCUUCAAUCUCUCUAAAUCACUUCAAACAAAACACAGUGUUAAUUGUGGGGUUCUUUGGCAAUACUUUGGCCCAAUUAUAGAGGGGAAAGUAUGUGAUAUUCUUGGGAUAUGAUUCAAGACAAACUAAAUUUCAUUUAAAAGUAGAAUUUGCAGUCUUUCCGAACUCCAAAAUUAUGAUGGUAUUUUGAUUGAACUAUUAAAUCGGCAACAUUAAUACAAUAUGAAAACUUCAUGGGCUAUCAUGACAUCCUAUGUAUGAAAUUUUGAGACUUUUUUUUUUCAAUAUUGAAUGUUAUCUGACUUAUUUGGUAUUUCUUUGCUAAUUUUUUUUUUUUAUGAUGAUCAUGGUAGAAGUCUUGAAAUUUUUUAUAUAGAAUGUGUUGACACCUAAAUUUUGACAACCCGUUUAGUCAUUUAUCGCAUUAAAAAAUUAGGGGUUAAUUUUAUCCCUGAAAAAAUAGUUAAUUGCAUAGCAUAUAGUUUUAUGUACAUUUAUUUUUAAUUUGCAUUUACGGUGGGCUGGUGACGGAUGGAUUUGAUUUGAUAGUUCAGAACUUUAAUUUGAUGAGUUGGGCUAAGCCCACGAAGAGAGCAAAUUGGCCCAAGCCCGUUGUUCUCUAAUGACCGACAAUUGACUUAUUUGAUAUUUCUGGAAAAGAUUCGUAAUAUCCUUCCAAUAUUUGGUAAACAUUUCAUAUAUUUAUGUGAUAUAUACAUUGAGUGAUAUAUUUUGCGGAAGAUUGGAAGAUUUUAGAGGAAAUAUCAAAAUAAUCAAAUAGGAAUAUUGCAUUUGGAGGAUAUAUUGAACAAUAUAUUUUUUGCCUCAAAAUGAGAGAAAUUGCUUGGUCAUUAGAGAUUUCGUGCAAAAUUUUUCUUUCCGUGAUGAGAUCGUACUAUAAAAUACCGCUUGGUCAAGGAAAGAAGGAGGGAGAAGUACACUAUCAGUGCUAUAAGUUAUGUACAGCACUCACUUUGGUGCAAAAAGUUUCCGUUGGAUCACUUAAGUGCCAAAUCAAAGGAAAAAUGAUCACUUUGGUGUCACUAGUGAGAAAUUUCAGUCAAAAUGAUUACGUGGCUUUUAUAAUUAAAAAAAAUCAAUAAACCCUUUAAACAACAUCGUUUUCCGUUAUACUUAAGAAAACGACGUCGUUUUGCCGUCACAUGUGGAUGGCUUAGGAAAAACAAUGCCGCAUAGCUCAUUUGGGAUUGAAAUUAGGGUUUUUUUUUUUGUUCAUCCUCGCCGACCUAGCUUGCUCAGCCACUGUCGCUUGGCCACCGUGCUUGGCCACCGUCGCUCGGCCACUAUGCUCGGCCACCGUCGCUCGGCCACCGUGCUUGGCCACCGUGCUCGGCCACCGUGCUUGACCAUCGUCGCUUGGCCAUCAUCGCUCGGCCACCAUUGCUCGGCCAAGAAGUGAUGGGAAAAUAGGAGGCCACCGUCGGAGGAGAAGGAGGAAGAAGGGGGGUUGAAGGUGCAAAGAGAGAGAGAAGAUGAGGAGUGGGCCACCGUCAGCCAAGAAGGAGACCACAGAUGGAGAUGGUGGAUUGGACUCUGCUUGGAGAGUGGCUGGUGCUGGUGUUGUUCUUCAAGGAAGAAGAUGAUGCCGCCGCCAUGGCUUCUCUCUCUCUCUCUCUCUCUCGAUUUGGGGAUUUAGAGUUUUGACUUGGGGUUUAAGACGCCAAACGACGUCGUUUGGUGGUUUACAUGCUAACUGUACUCUCCGGCGAGCCACAUCAGCAUGAAAAAUUAGUAAAAAACUGCAAUGUCGGAUUUCCAGUCAACCAGAUCGGCAUUGGCACUGAAAUAAUCGUUUUUCAAAAAUUUUUGCACUUAAGUGAUCUGACGAAAAAUUUUAGCACCAAAGUGAGCGCCGUACACAACUUAUAGCACUGAUAGUAUACUUCUUCCAAAGAAGGAGGAUAACACAUUACGUUGAAUACUUGGCUUCACAAUUGGGGCCACUCAAUAGAAUACACUACCAUUGAUAAAAACACAUCAAGGAAUAUAUACGUGAGAGAGAAGGUUGCCGGAGCCUUCCUACAAUCCAUUGAUCCCCUUGCCGUCCAUCGAUCAUGAUGCCUACUAUUGUGCUGGUGCUGCCUUGUUUGAUGAUAUCCAUCAACGACUUUGCUUGAUAGUCAACACCUCCGUGCAUCGCGUCGAUCCGCUGCACCUCAUCAGCUGAGGCCACGCAAUUGAGACGCUCGGCCACAUGGAGGGGGGCUUCACAAAACAAAGAGAUGGCCACAAUUCUGAGACGAGCAGAGAAUGGAGAGAGAGCGGAUGUUCUACACAUGAAGGAGAAAACGUGAAGAAGGAGACCUGCCCCUGGCCAAUUGAAGAUCCCGUUGCCCACUAAAUCUUCAAAGUCAAAUUCUUUUUGCUACCAUGGAGAUUCACGCCCAUUCUCCAUCAACAUCUCACUUUCAUCUCCUUUCUCUCUCGAGGGAAUUCACGCACAAGUCCUCGAUUGCAUAUAUUUUACUACUGUUUUGCUUCAGCGACGAGUUGAUGUUCAAGAUCUCUACAGGCAUCCCCGACGCAAGCCGCAUCUGUGUGGCCUAUUAGGCCAUCUGCGGAAUCCCCAGCAACGACGAAUACUGGUCUUUCUUUGCAGGUCUUUUGGAACACAAUAGGGAGACACGUUCAAAACAGAAGGUUCAUAAAGCAAGGAGAGCGUCCAGCAAAGUGUGUUCCUUGGGGGGCCAUUGUAUGUGUCCAUCGAAGCUUGAUUAUCACGGCUUAAUUAGGCGAGCAAAGCCAGUCAAAUUUCUCUACCGUCUGGACCUCGAGGAGGGUACACAUAGCAAGGGAAUCUCUACCGAAUCAUUAUCCUCCACUAUAAAUCUUGGUGGAUAUAUAUAAAAAGAAAACAAAGAAAGGUUUACACCUGCUCCUAAUCAGCUUCGCAAGUUCCUAGUGUUGCAAGCAUUCCGAGAAGUCUCUGUGGUAAAGCUGGGAGUUAGCUGUGCACCUCCCCACCGCUUCGUGAGCCAUCACCUGUCGCAAAUCAUCGAGGCAUCACCGUGGGUCCACCAUCUCGGCUGCUGUCCGAGCCGAACCACCGUUUGUAGCGAAUUGCCACCACGAUCCACCACUAGUCGCCAUCAACCACCAUAGCAAGCUGUCCUUGUGCCAUCAUGUCGAGCCUCUAUCAUGAUUCACGAGCCGCCGUUCAAAGACCAAAUUUGGAAGCAAUAUUUGGGACAGGUAAAAAUUUUGUCUACUUUAAUUUCCAAAAAUUUUGUUUCCUUAUUGGAUAUAUUCAUUGGUGCACAUGAUGGAAAUUCCUGAUAUGUCAUGUUAUUGGCAACUCGAGUAGCCUUCUGAAUUAGGAAAUAUUCUUAAUUCCACAACAUGUAUAUGAUUGAUAGUCCGAUUUCAUGCUCGAAAUACGACUCACAAUCGCACAGAAAAAUCACCAAUCCGAUCUCACGCUUGAGAUACGAUUUGUGAUUUUGUCUAAAAUUGGCCAAUCCGAUCUCAUGUGCGAGAUACGAUUCGUCAAUUUAUUUCCAAAAUUAAAUGGACAUGGAUGAUAUUUUGCUGGAUUUGUUGCCGUGAUGUUCUUGAUGCCUUUAUUUGUUUGCUCCCGUAAACAAAAAAAAAUAAAAAUAAAAAAUAAAAACAUUUGAGUUAGAUUAGAUGCAUGUUAGGAUGUUACUUGUUUUAGGGUAAUUUUUUUUAUGUCUAGAAUAAGAAAUUUAUUUAUUUCGAAUUUUUAAAAAUAAAAAAAUAACAAAAACAUAAAUUUAGGAUGUUAAAUUUUCCUUUCAUUAAUUUAAAUUGCAUGUUUAAUUAUGUGGCACUUCUAAAUUUUGAAUUUUAUUAUAAAAAAAAAAAUCACCAUACAUAUGUCAUGUAGAAUUAUGGCAUUAUUUGCACGUCAUUGCAUAUUAGGAUAAAAUUGCAUAUUCCAUCUUGAGUUUAGAUUAUUAUUUUUUAGAUAGCCUGCAUCUUAGGUUAGAGAUUGCUAAGUCAAGAUAAUAUAUUAGUUUAAAUUAGGGUUUAGCCUAACAUAAUCCUUAAUAUAAGUUGGAUAGAAUCUUAAUCUAGCUAGAUAAUUUUCACAUUCUUCUAAUUUCGAAUUUCAUGAAAAAUACAAAAAAAUGUCUUAGGAUAAAUUAGGGGAUGUCACGCCCCGAACUUCGAGCGCGCCAACAUCCCACCAUGGUCAUGCCAAUGCGACAUUCCCAGGUAGUGUCGCCGACCCCAUUCAUUUAUUAAUGCGCAAGCGGAACGUAUUAUAAAACCCCUGACAAUAAAAUACGGGAUAGAAAAGCAUGAAGCAAAACCACAAAAUAACACUUCCAUAAUUCAACAGAAUUACAAACAGAGGUCUACGGCCAAAAGUCUACAAAAGACCGGCUCUUAAAAAGGAAUUUUCCUACGACCUACAAGUCGGACACGUUCUCCAAUCUUAUGACUUCACCUCUGGUCAACUCCUCAAGGCCAACCAAAGCUAUAUGGUCGCUCCGUCCACCAGGGACCUGAAAUUUUUAAUCCCACAACCGGGAUGAGACGAUGUCUCAGCAAGUUCAACCCCCUAAACCCCUAUUAGAAAGAAAAUACGCCCAAGGGUGGCCUAGCCACAUCACACAGAGAACUUACCUCGCCUCGAUUCCUUCCUGCAGGUUAGCACAAUUUGUAUCACACAAUCUCAGGUAGUAAUAAUAAUUCAAACAAUUGGAACGCCAUCACUUUCAUAUAAAUCACGAUCGCACUUAGCACGCAUUCCAAUUAUUAUUCACUGCCACACAAGGGCAUAGCCUACUCGCGGAUCGGCUAUCUACUGACAUUACGGCAUUUCUAGAAGGAUAAAUGUCCAGUCGGUCUCGCCACUACUGCGACCAAGCCACGUCAUUCUCUUGACGGCAUUUCUAGAAGAAUAAAGGUCCAGUCGGUCUCGCCACUACUGCGACCCAGCCACGUCAUUCUCUUGACGGCAUUUCUAGAAGAAUAAAGGUCCAGUCGGUCUCGCCACUACUGCGACCAAGCCACGUCAUUCUCUUGACGGCAUUUCUAGCAGAAUAAGGAUCCAGUCGGUCUAGCCACUACUGCGACCCGAGCCUUUCAACUAGCACACGACAAUUCGAUACCGAUCCCUGGAUACUUUACAUUUCACUCACAUAAUCCAAUUACGAUAUUAACCAUUAACAAUCCAAUUUCAAUGCCAAACUCGACACUUGGGAUUUUCUAAAUAAAAUCCAUACUUUUCACAAUCCACACUCAAUUUAUAAUAUCCAAUCAUCAAUUUCAAAAUCUGACUACACAGCAGCAAUCGGCACGAAAUUCUGAGAAUUUAGGGUCCUAACAAAAUUUUCGGAAUUUAAUAAUUAAUUAAAUUUAUUCCGAAAAUAAUUAAAUAAUAAUAUCUUAAUAAUUUCGAAUAAUAUAAUAUUAUUUAAAUUAUUAAAAAAUUUCAAAAAGAUUUAAAUAAAUCAAAAGUAAAUUCCUUUAUGUCACAUCACAAUUUAUAUUAAUAUAACCACUCACUUAACCUUAAAUUAAACACAAUUUAAGUUAAUCAAACACCUUAAUAUAAUCUACACUUAAAUAAAUUAAACUAACCACCUAAUAACACUUAACAUAAACUAAGCACCCAUAAAGCAUCAUUAACCCUCUAAUCAAGGUUUAGUGAGUUAAACUCACCGGAUUAGCGAGCCGAGCGGACCAAAACGACGAGGACGACACGAGGAUCGACUUUCCUCAAGGCAGGCCGAGCAUCCAAGCUCGGGAAGACGGCCAAAACGGGCCAAAUAGGUGCUGCCAUACCCAUUUUCUGCAACUGCUGUCCAUUGCGGUUUGAGGCCGAGGAAGGGUAGAUCCAGCGCUGGUUCGGGCGGAGGAACGGCGGAGGAGCUGAACCGGACUUAGGCGAGGCUUCACGGUGGCCGGAGGUGGGCUAGACGGCUCCGGCGGAGCUCCACCAGAUCUGAAAUGGCUGCUGGAACUUGGCUGAAGCAGGGACAACGGCAGUAAGAGGCGGAGACGUGCGAGCGGUGCGGGGCAGACGUGCGGCAACGGCGACGGCGACGACGGCGUGCGGGCAGCGACGGCGACGACGGCGUGCGGGCAGCGACGGCGACGAGCGGCCGAGCAAGUGGCAAAGGGGCGUGCGGCGUGCGGCUGGCGCGGCGAGGCGGUGUCGAGCGGGACGACGAGGCGAGGCGCGCGCGCGGGCGCGGGGCGUCGCACAGUCGCGAGGCGGCGACGGCACCGGCGGCAACGAGCAACGGAGGGCGACGUCGGGGCUGGCGAGCUGCUGGUCCGGCCGAAUUCCUCUCUCUCUCUCCUCCCUAUUCCCAAGAAGCCAAAGGUUGAAGAUGAUGUUGAUAGGUGAGAGGGAAAAACCCCACUUUAUGAAGGCCAAUGGGCUCUUGUCACUUGUCAACACCCCAUUUGCUAGGCUUCAAUCAGCAUGACAUCACCCGCAUGAUGUCAUCUUCUACUAUCUCCUCUCCCACAACAUUCUUCAAUGGGUGCAAUUUCAUUUUCCGCCGGGGCAUAAAAUCUUGUAUUUUAAAUUCUUCAAUUCCAAUCAAUUCUCUUCCAAUUGAGUCCAAUUAAAAUCCAUAAAAUUAAUCCAUGAUCCUCAUAAGAUAUGUGACACCCCAGACUUCUAAUUUCUGAAUUCGAUCUCAAUUCCACGGUUAAUUUCACUUUGACACGAUACUAGCGCGGCCCAACCUACCGGGUAGCUUUUAGAAAUUUUUCCUGCAUUUGACCUGUGGUUGAUCAUCUCAAGCCACAAUGUACAUCUUUGAAACAUUGGCGACUUUCGGUUGUCGGGGUAAUCUCAAGAUUUCAAAUACGAAUAUAGAGUACCCAAUCGAUAGAAAAGUCAGCCCAGUGCCGAUCAACAAGAAUUGUGCGAUCUGGUGGAAUUACCCACACCUGAUCACAUGCCUUUGUCGAGUCGUCCUAUCUCCGAUCUCUAAUCGAUUUUUAAUUGUGCCGUAAUGACCCUUGCAGAUUAGCUCGGUCGAAAGGUCGCUUCCUAAUCAAAUUCUCGAGUCUGAUGCAUUAGAAACUCUUAACAGCUUCACCCGAUAGACUAGUUUUCACAUGAGUGGCCGACUCAAGGAAAAGAACUAUAUGCGUGCCAACGAAAUGCCCGUCUCAAUUUAUUGAAAACAGAAUUGGAAAAUCGAGAUGUCACAAAUUACUUUCAAUCUCUAGGAUAGGUUGCAUGCUUUUUAAGAAAAUAGAAAAUAUCAUGUGCAUGUCAUGUAGAAUUAGGUUCAUGAAAUGCAUGUUACUUAGUGAUUGCGGUUAGGUCCAUUUAGCUAGAAAUUGCAUGUCAUUAGGUUAAAUUGCACUGCAUUGCAUGACUUUCAUUAAUUAAGUGGAAAAAAAAAAAGAAAUUGCGUGUUAAUUAGAAAUCAUAUCUAGGACUGUUGAUGUGAAUUCUAAUUUAACAUUGCAGAUGCUUUCGUUGCUAUGAGAUAAGUCCUGCAAUUUAUUCAUUGCUUUUUUUGGAUGUUAAAUUAGUGGUUUGCGCACUCAUAUGAUUACCUCACAUGUUAGGAAAUAUAUUUAAAAUCAAUUCAAGUUGCCUGCAAAACAUUUUUUUAAAAAUAAAAGAGAAAGAUACUGAAAGGACGUUAAAGAAAUCUAGUGUAACCAAGCCCCCGAACUCAUAAUCUCUGAUUUGUAGGAGUAAAUUCUAAUUGACCCACCAAAAAUAGAUUAGUGGCGAUUCCUAAUUGAAAAUCAAUUACAUGUUAAAAAUUUGAACCUAAGUCGCGAAUUGGUAUGGGCUUGGGAGAGUCCGAGCUAAGUUAGACUUAGUAGUCCAUUAGCCUAAUUUUAGGUGGUGCACCCGAAAUUUAAGGUCACGACAGAAUGUCAUAAAUGGAGACCAAUUUAGUCAACCAAUUCCAAAGUAGGACGUAGAUGGUGGGAAAAGUGGCCUCCGUGAUAUUAUAAAUCGCUUGCUAUAUGAGAUUGUUGGUAUCAAAUCAUUGUAAUAAUUUGUUAAUUUCAUGCAUAUGGUCAUGAUAUAUUUAAAUGAUUACAAUGGUUUGAUACUAGUAAUCUCAUACAACACACAACUUAUUUUUUCGUGGGAGCCGCUUAAAUCCUAUCGACGACGUCCUAUUUUUGAAUUAAUUGAUUAAAUUGAUUUCCAUAUAAGAUAUCCUAUGUAUGGAAUUUUUAGAUUUUCCUUCUUUUACUAUUAAAUGUUAUCCAACUUCAUUAGUAUUUCUUUACUAAUUUUUUUUUCGAGAGGAUCACAGUAAUGUCUCGAAAUUUCUUAUGUAGAACAUGGUAUAGUGGUAAUCUCACAAUAUAGGCUAAUUAUUAUGUUGUGGAGCCGCUUGAAGCCCACCAUGUACGUUCAAAUUUGGGAUUGGUCGACUAAAUUGGUUUUCAUUUACAACAUCCUAGAUAUGAAAUUUUGAGACUUUCCCUUUUUUAAAAAUUUAAUGUUAUCCAACUUAUUUGGUAUUUCUUUACAAAUUUUUCAUGGUGAUCAUAGUAGAAGUUUUGAAAUUUCUUACAUAGAAUGUCACAAUUCCAAAGUAUGACGUAAAUGGUGGGGCAAGCGGCUCCCAUGACAGUAUAAAUUGUCUACUAUAUGAGAUUGUUGAUAUUAAAUCAUUGUAAUAAUUUGUUAAUUUCAUGCAUUUGCUCAUGAUAUAUUUAAAUGAUUACAAUGGAUAGAUAUCAAUAAUCUCAUAAAGCUUGCAAUUUAUUUUGUCAUAAGAGUCGCUUAAACCCCACCAUCUAUGUCCUACUUUUGGAUUGGUGGACUAAGUUGAUUUCCAUUCAUGACAUCGUAUAUAAGAACGUAUGAGAUUUUCCUUUUUCAAAUAUUAAAUGUUAUCCAGCCAAAAAGAAUUAAAUGUUUUCCCACUUGAUUGGCAUUUCUUUGCUAAAUGUUUUCAAGAUGAGAUGCGGUAGAAGAUUUGAAUUUUCUUACAUAGAAUGUCAUAAUUGUAAAUCAAAUUGGUCAACCAAUCCCAAAGUAGGACGUAGACGGUGGAGUUCAAAUAAAUUGUUUGCUUUGGAAACGAUGCUAGACCUUCUUGAUGUAGGCUUUCUAGGUACAAUCCUUAGCUUCUUCGUUUAAGCGAAUUUUCACUUCUAGAAUCUCCUUAGUUGGACCCAAAUCUUUCUGUCCCGAAUUCACCAGUCGACUAUGCCAUAAUAUCAAUCUUAAGAUAUAUUCUUGGUACUUAUCAACUCAAAGAAGCGAUUAUACAAAGGAAUUACGAGGGAUAUUUAUCAAAUACAUAUACAUACUUGUCAAAUAGAAUUAUCAGGGAAUUUUAUCAAGUGCAUGCAAAUCUUAUCCUUACUUCUUGAGUAGUCACCGCAUAAUACAAAGGAAUUACCAGGCACGAUAGUUACUACAGCAUUAUUGUUGAUUGUAAAGCUUUUCUCUUUCAUUGGAAACCCACAACCUAUAACAAUUUCUCAACCAACGAAAACGUCGAUGCUAUUGAAAAUUAGAAAGGGACCAAACACAUAAGCGUUUCUUACAAAAAGGAAAUUCCAACUUUCGCUCCCGCAAUAAUUUUCGCCCCAACUUUUGAACGUCACUUAAAAGGGCGCCAAUUUUAACUUGUGAGAUCAUUUUGGCCAUAAUAGAAUUACCGUUAAAAUGUGUGUAUAUGACAUCUAAGAUGGCUCACGGAUGCUAACAUUACUAACAAGAAGUGCCUUGUCAGCAGACAUGCUUCCAUAUAUAAUCAACACUCAUUUCUAAACUCGCAUUAUGGCUUCAAAUCAAAUUAAGAAGGGUUUAUGCAAAUUGGGCUAGAGAUUUGGUAAAAAAUCGGAGCAUAUUCACUAAAUUUUCGCAAAUUUCACCCUUUCAAUAUGAUUCAGUGAAGAACCGUCUCCACCCCCCUCCCCCACGAAACACACACACAUGAAACUCGAUUAAUUAGCUCAAAAACAACAUCGUUCUACUUUUUUAGUGGGAACAAUGUUGUUUAAUGCCACUCCAAAUUAUCUUCGAUUCAGAUUGGAAACAAUUUAUUAUCAUUACAUGGAGUUUGCUCACAUGGCAAUCACAUUUUACCUUUCUAGGGGUGAAAUUCAUCCCUCGGGUAAAAGUUGGUGUCCUUACAUGCAACAUUUGUAAGUAUUAAAAAAUGUUCAUCCCAAAUACCAUGCCACAUCUAAUUAUUGGCCUUUGGAAUAAAUGUUUUUGAAAUAUAUGAAAUUCAAGCGAUUGAUUAAAGGUCAUUGCACUCAAGUGAACAUUUAUUUUUUUAAAGUCAUGACCGUCGAGUAAUCAAGAAAAAAGUUAAUAUUCAAGUGAGUGUCUUACGAAAAUUAGAAUUAAAAUUACUCGGCGAUUGAAAACUAUUGUUCUUUUAAUAAAAAUCCUAAACACUUGAAGAGGUAGAAAAAGAGGGCAGCGGAAGAUCUAUCUCACAAGCCUCUCGCUACUUUCAAACUACAGUUGACGAUGCACGCAGCAUAUAUUACAUACCCACUGACCACUAAACUGAGAGCCAAAAAAGAUAGCUCAUAUCAUUUGGAACGGGCCCACUUUUUGUCCUUGAGCAACUCAACCACGCGCCUCAUGGUGGGCCUGCUGACCGGCAACGCGGAAGUGCAAGAGAGAGCUAUGUUCAAGACCUUCUCAAUCUCUUCAUAGUCGCUCGAGGACGGGCUCAACCUCGGAUCCAUGAGCUGUGCCAGAUCGCCGGAGCACCACCCGGGCUCGCCAUCACGAUUCCCAUCCCCUUCCGCCUCGGGAGCCGACAAUGCGACCUCAAUGACCCACUCCACAAUGUGCUUGUUCUCGCCAAACGAAGGGUCAUUCGGCCUUUUGCCGGUGAUCAACUCUAGAAGCAACACGCCAAAACUAUAGACGUCGCUCUUCUCGUUUACUUUCAUAGUAUAUGCAUACUCUGCGAAAACCGAGAAAAAAGAAUAAUAAUCAAUUUAAGAGCCACCAUUAAACUACUCUUGCAAGUCAAAUAAGUUCGAGAACAUUAUUGCUGUAUACAGAAUUCAGAAAAUGAGCAGCACUUGCCAAUAUUAAAUGACUAAAAAAUACCAAAUCCAUUUAAGAACUCUCUGUUCAGAUUGGGUUGACUUUAGUCAAAGAUGAGUGAAGGCAUGGGCUAAAAAGGCCAAAACAUACAACUCACAAGCACUUUCCCAUGGACCCCACAGUAAAAUUAAUAUUAUCGGGUUGAACAUGGGGCCCACUAGUCUUCUAUUCCAGUGGAAGUGAACACUAGCAACCAAAGAGAGACCACAUAAUCAAACAGACAAUAAUGAAAACGAAAGGAUUGGGAUAGGCAAUACGCACCUGGCGCGAUGUAGCCACAGGAUCCGGCCACCUUCGACAUCUCCCCCGUCGCCGCCGCCUCCCGUUGCAACAUCUUCGCCAACCCGAAGUCGGCGACCCGCGGCGUGAAGUCCUCGUCCAAUAGGAUGUUGUUGCUCUUCACGUCCCGGUGCACGAUGGCGGGCACGCAGUCGUGGUGCAGGUAGGCCAGGCCCUUAGCCGCGCCCACUGCUAUGGCGAACCGCUGGGGCCAGUCGAGGAAUUCUCCGCUCUUGGGCCCGUGCAGCACGUCGCCCAGGCUCCCGUUCUCCAUGUACUCGUAGACUAAAAGGCUGCUCUCCUCGGCCGAGCACGUGAACAGCAACUUUACUAUAUUGCCGUGGCGGACGUGACCCAGAGUCUCCACCUCCGAUUUGAACAUGGACUCGAUGUCCGGGGCCUGGGUCUUCGCCCAGAGCUUCUUCACCGCCACCAUCUGACCCGACUUGAGCCUAAUCCGGUAGACCUCGCCCGACCCUCCGGACCCGAUCUUGUUCUCCUCUAUUAACUGAUCGACUAUCUCAUUGCUAAACAUGACCCGCUGGAACGUGGUUAUUUUCCACAACCGUCUCGAUUUGCCUCCGAACCAAUGUAGCUUCGUCCUGAGGAACCAAACCAGGGACGCGAAAAGGAGCAAAACGCAUACGGCUAGAGCUAUGAGCACGUAGAAAGCGACGGGCCGGGCUCUUGUGCACUUCGGGAACGGCUUCAGAUCCGAGCUGCACAGGCUUGGGUUGCCCAUUAAGCCCGAAACAAAGAGCUCGCGAUCGAAGCACGGCGGUAUCUCGCCGUAGAGCUUAUUGUGGGAUAUGUUGAACUUAUUAAGCGUCAGUUUGGCCAGCUCCCUUGGGAUCUCGCCGGAGAGCGAGUUCCCUGAGAGGUCCAAGUACCUCAGCACCGGCAAGUCGCCUAAUUGAGCCGGUAUGCUCCCAGUGAGCCGGUUGUUCGAAAGGUUCAACUCCGUCAAAUCGGCCCAUGGCCCUACUGAACUCGGAAUCGGGCCGGUCAGCAAAUUGCCUUGCAUCUUG
This 41378-nucleotide long non-coding RNA is filed under the name Eucalyptus grandis. Its description in RNAcentral is "long non-coding RNA (EGRA_LNC004865)". Lineage: Eukaryota; Viridiplantae; Streptophyta; Magnoliopsida; Myrtales; Myrtaceae. The record is from RNAcentral.